UACAGAGGCCCCAAGCAUUAUCCGGAAUCACUGGGCGUAAAGGGUGUCAAGGCGGGUAUAUUAGUCGUUCGUCAAAUCCGUGGGCUCAACCUACGGCGCGCGAGCGAAACGGUAUACCUUGAGGGUGGGAGAGGUGUGUGGAACUCACGGUGUAGGGGUGAAAUCCGUUGAUAUCGUGGGGAACACCAAAGGCGAAGGCAGCACACUGGCCCAUUCCUGACGCUCACACACGAAAGCUAGGGUAGCGAACGGG
RNAcentral lists this ribosomal RNA (253 nucleotides) under uncultured bacterium. Its description in RNAcentral is "partial 16S ribosomal RNA". It matches the Rfam family "Bacterial small subunit ribosomal RNA", at positions 524 to 776 of the family's 1533-position model. The record is from RNAcentral.